UAUCUGCUGUGUGUUGAGAUUAGCUUUGUGGCAUGAAUUCAGCUGCUUAGAUUAAGAACCCUUCCAAAAGUACUAAAUAUACUUCUCUUGAGUUUGCAUAAUUUCUUUUUGCUCGGCAAUGGCGACACGCUCUAUGAAAUGUCCCUCGAUACAACUUUUCCUCGUGGAUCUGCAGCAGUUAUAUAUCAGGCUAGGAUGAAUCAGUCUCUGGGAUCUACAAGUGAAAAUGAAACAAAACACAAAGGAGGAAGAGGCCAAAGCUAAACCACACCCUGAUGCUUGGGAAGAGCUGCGGAAAGGUUCGUGACAUACAGACGCGAUGCAUUUACAAACAAUGAAACUGUUUCUGGUGUUUGUUCUUCUGAAAGGUGUCCACUGUCAAGCUAUAUGGGGUCCGGAGGCAAUUACAGUCAUGGAGCAUGAAGAUCUGACAGUGGAGUGCAGAUAUCAGAAAGGAUAUGAAAACUAUGAAAAAUACUGGUGUGAAGGAAGCAGACACUUGUCUUGUUUUGUUUUGGCAAAAACAACUUCUUCAUACAUAUCCAGAAGUGGCCUGUUUCUGAGUGAGAAUAAGACUAAGAGAGUAAUAAAUAUAAUUAUGAAGGACAUCCAGGGGAGAGAAGAAGGAACAUACAAGUGUGGAAUAUCAACUGCUGGGAGAGAUAAACAUUCUCCUGUUGUUGUUAAAGUUAAGAAAGCUCUGCCCAUAACUCCAACAAAAGCAGAAGAAACAGUAUCUUCAACAGCAAAGCCGGGAACCACAGUCAGUACGACGUCCCUUGAGGAGUCUGAAGAAACGAAAGCACCAGUCACAGAGGCUCCGGACAAGUAUUUCAGUUUCAAGUUUUAUUGUCAUAUACAGAUAACAAUGUAGCAUCAUUGCCGACAAUGAAAUUCUUAGUCUUAUGUUCCCCCAACUUUACAUAUGCUCACAAGCAUACAGAUAUAUAACAUAUAAACAUAUAGAAACAGAUACAGACAAAAAAAAAAACAUUAUAACAAAAAUACUGCAAAAUAAUGCAGUGAGAUAUUUAGAAUGUGGGAUGCAAAAUUGUGCUGUGAGAAUUUAAAGUGCUGCUGUAUGUUGAAAAUUGGUGCCUUUUCCUUCACUUGCUAAACCCAUACGAAAUGCUGGUUUUUGAAAAAUCACCCGGACAGGGGCCCAAAAAGAGGGCGUGUCCGGGGAAACCCGGGCAAAUGGUGACCAUAUCUUCCCAGUAUGUCUGUGCUAGCACAUUGAUUACACAGCUACCCAGGCAGACAUGAGUGUGAUAUACAGUGUUAGGCUAGUGCAACAUAUGUCAGUGGGACAACAACACAGAAACUAUUUAGGUGGCUUCUUAUACUUGCAGUAGCAAGUUUAUUUGACUAGCAAGUAGCUAACUUCGUUUACCAUCACUGACCUGCUAGUCGUAAAUGUUAUAACUUGACAACUCCUUGACCCCAGUUUGCCUUAAAGCAACAACAAUUGUGCUCAUUCCCUAAAAAGCAUAUCGUGAGCUGUCUGAAAGACUAUUGUCUGAUUUCCAAGUGUUGAUUCUGGUACAUAUUAAACAUUCCAUCCCUACCACACUGGAGUAGAACCAGUUUGCCUAUCGGGCAAACAGAUCAACAGAGGAUGCACCUGGAGAAGCCAAACGUGUAUGUCAGGUGUGAGGAUGCUUUUUUGACAGUUGUCAAGGCAAUUCAUUAAUCAGGUCCAAUGAAACAACAGGCAAACUUAGUUGAAAUUCUUUUUACUCUGCAGAGGAGAGUGUCACAAUCAGCAUGCUCAGGGCAGUAUAUGUACAAUUACACCACACACAAGACUGAAAAAUAGCUUCUUUCUUAGUGCUGUUAAAUUGCCGAACCCUGGCUAAACACUGUCUGACCCUCCCUCCAACAGCAGGUAUACACAGGCAUACAGACUCACAUACACACAAGAUAUGCGCUCUUUUGACUGCAUUCACUCUGUCAUUGUAGUUAUUUCAAUUCUUAUUACUGCUUAAUAUGCUGUAGACUGUCUCACCUUAUUUGUUGUUGUCUGUGAUUAUUGCGCUUUUAUUUGUUGAUGUUUGCGACUAGCACGCCGUGUUUUUGUUGAUGUUUGCGACUAGCACGCCAUGUUGUUGUUGUUUGCCAGUCACAACUUCAUUGUUUGUCAUUCUCAGCAAUUCAGCAACAAAAAUAUUCUUCUCUGCGAUUUUAGCUGUAGACUGAGUAAGUUUCAGUGUUACGUCAUUUUCACACUUCCUCAUAGCCCCUGUGGUAAAAGCAGAAGCAGUGAAGAACAGAUCACAGAAUUUCCUCCUUGCUGAAUUACAUGCAGCUGGCUUAAGUGAUUAUUCAUCUGUAUCAAUGCAUCAAACUGGAUCACAUGAGCUAUAAAUAAAUAGCUCUCAACUCUUGUGGGGCUCCCCAGCCACUCCAGCACUUUAUGUCGUUAUCUGCACACGUGGAUACAAUCAUCAGCAUGUUAUGAAGGUUUUUCAUUUUGGGGGGGGGGGGGGCGGCGGGUCACAAUCCAUCACUCUUACUGCCUGGCACAUUUGGACCCCUCUUUAUAUGCCAGUACCAUCACACCAACAGAUUGUUUGUUUGCUUGUUUGUUUGUUUAUUUGCAGUAGCAUUUGCAGUAGUAUUUAUUUACACGGUUGCCUGUAGCCUGUAGAGGAUUGAACAUCAGCAAUCUGGAAUCAAGGGCUAAGAUACAUGGAGGCAGGGCUGGCCUUGGGUGUUCUGGCGCCGUAGGUGAGAUUCUGCUGGGCCCCCCGCCCAAAACACAUACCCUGGAGCAGCAAAAAACUAAUUUUGUCAAUUCAUUUAUAUAUUUAAAUUAUUUAAAAAAUCAGUAGCACAGGGAAUCUGGCUGCUAACCAGCUAGAUCACUUCUGUAUCACAAGAAAAGUACUGAAAUAUUAAAACUAGUGUAAAUAACUAAUUUCGUGAAAUGCAAUCAGAGGUAUUUUUCAGAUUUUUUUCACUGACUCUUUAGCGCCCCCCUAAUGGUCCAGUGGGUCAGCCCUGCAUGCUGCUUAUAUGUUACAAUCAGGGCUUACAAGUCUUGCUGAAGGGCCCAAAGGCGCUUUUGUUUCUAGUCUUGAAGUUUCAUAUGUAUAACUAGGGCUUUCCGUCAAAUAGCCUGUCCAUGGCCUGUCUGUGACUCCCAAGUCAUCAAUCAAUGUGUCCCUGCGUAUUAUGCAGUUCCAACACCGAAAUAUGCUUUCACUUUUGUCAUGUACAACAUCAUAAAUAACAAUUACUACACACUAUGUGACAGAUGUGUAAAUAAUAUUUAGAAAAAAAUAGUCUCGAACAUGUCACCACUGUCUCUGUGAGUGAGCAGUCUUCUCCCUAACAUUUCGGUUCUUUCUGUGUAGGUUUGGCGUGUGGACAGUCCUGAGAUGGAUUCUGCUCUGCGUGCUUCUCUCUUGUCCCAUAUUUGUCACCUGUUGGGAGAAGUGGUGCAGGUGUGGACACCUGUCAUCACAGCCUGUAUCUGAACCUGGGUCACAGCCUUCAUGCUGAAAGGAUCACCGGAUUAACUUUAAACAGCUAUUGUGACUUUCCAUAUUGAUGUAAAUAGCAGCAGAUAGUAGCAGAGUUAGAUAGUCAAUGUGAAUGUUAUGUUUUUGUGUUUCCUAUUACUCUGUAAAUAAAAAUCUCAAAUUUCAAAUAAAUGCAUUCAUUAAAA
Molecule: RNA transcript, 3673 nt
Organism: Brienomyrus brachyistius
Lineage: Eukaryota; Metazoa; Chordata; Actinopteri; Osteoglossiformes; Mormyridae
Gene name: CMRF35-like molecule 5
Exons: 3
Source: RefSeq, a predicted model, not a curated record